Molecule: ribosomal RNA, 443 nt
Filed under: uncultured bacterium
Lineage: Bacteria
Description: partial 16S ribosomal RNA
Rfam family: Bacterial small subunit ribosomal RNA
Source: RNAcentral
CCUACGGGAGGCUGCAGUGGGGAAUAUUGGGCAAUGGGCGCAAGCCUGACCCAGCAACGCCGCGUGAAGGAAGAAGGCUUUCGGGUUGUAAACUUCUUUUCUCAGGGACGAAGCAAGUGACGGUACCUGAGGAAUAAGCCACGGCUAACUACGUGCCAGCAGCCGCGGGAAUCCGUAGGUGGCAAGCGUGAUCCGGAUUUCCUGGGUGUAAAGGGCGUGUAGGCGGGAAAGCAAGUCAGAUGUGAAAACCACGGGCUCAACCUGUGGCCUGCAUGUGAAACUGUUUUUCUUGAGUGCUGGAGAGGCAGACGGAAUUCCUAGGGUAGCGGUGAAAUGCGUAGAUAUUAGGAGGAACACCAGUGGCGAAGGCGGUCUGCUGGACAGCAACUGACGCUGAGGCGCGAAAGCGUGGGGAGCAAACAGGAUUAGAUACCCUGGUAGUC